AAAUUCCGUGAUAGCUGGUUCUCUCCGAAAUGCAUUUGGGUGCAGCGUCGGGUCAUUACGUCCCGGGGGUAGAGCUACUGGAUGCUUGCGGGCCCGUAUCGGGUACCAACAGCAACCAAACUCCGAAUACCGGUGACGCGUAUCCCGGCAGUGAGUCGGCGGGGGAUAAGCUUCGUCGUCGAAAGGGAAACAGCCCAGACCGUCGUCUAAGGUCCCGAAGCGUGUGCUAAGUGGGAAAGGAUGUGGAGUCGCAUAGACAGCCAGGAGGUUGGCUCAGAAGCAGCCACCCUUGAAAGAGUGCGUAACAGCUCACUGGUCUAGUGGUUCCGCGCCGACAAUGUAGCGGGGCUCAAGCACACCACCGAAGACGCGGCAGCAAUCUUCAUGGUUGCUGGGUAGGAGAGCGUCCUGCGAGGGGCGAAGCGGCCGGGUAACCGUGCCGUGGACUUCGUGGGAGUGAGAAUGCAGACAUGAGUAGCGAGAGACGGGUGAGGAUCCCGUCCGCUGGAUGACCAAGGGUUCCGGGGCCACGUUCGUCGUCCCCGGGUGAGUCGGGUCCUAAGGCGAGGCCGACAGGCGUAGUCGAAUGGAUGAACGGGUGGAUAUUCCCGUACCGACCAUGGACCGGCAAAACCGAGACGGUGAGUACUAACCUCCGCCUCGUGGUGGUUCCUUCCUUCGGGUUGGUGUCGCCGCGUGGUGUUGGGAGCGUAGCCGCAGUAGGUCAGCGCAGGGGUGACACGGAAUGGGAGCCGGCCGCGGAGGUGGUUUUCCGUGGUCAAGCACGCAGCCAGUCAUGUAGGCAAAUCCGCAUGGCGCGCAUGGCGAGGUGUGAUGAUGGGAGCCGUUAUGGCUCGAUAUCCGGUUGUCCAGGCCGUCGAGAAAAGCCUCGGCGUGAGGGCCAUGGCCGCCCGUACCCCAAACCGACACUGGUGGUCAGGUAGAGAAUACCAAGGCGAUCGAGCGAAUCCUGGUCAAGGAACUCGGCAAAUCACUCCCGUGCCUUCGGUAUAAGGGAGACCCGCUGGGGUGAACCGGCUAGCCCGGGGAGCUUUGGUGGGUGGCACAGACCAGGGGGUAGCGACUGUUUACCAAAAACACAGGUGCAUGCGAAGGCGAAAGCCGCUGUAUAUGCACUGACGCCUGCCCGGUGCCGGAAGGUUAAGAGGAUCCGUCAGCCUUCGGGUGAAGCGGUGAAUUCAAGCCCCGGUAAACGGCGGUGGUAACUAUAACCAUCCUAAGGUAGCGAAAUUCCUUGUCGGGUAAGUUCCGACCUGCACGAAUGGCGUAACGACUUCCCCACUGUCUCGACCAGGAGCUCGGCGAAAUUGCAGUACGAGUAAAGAUGCUCGUUAAGCGCAGAAGGACGAAAAGACCCCGGGACCUUUACUAUACCUUGGUAUUGGCGUUAGGCGCGGAUUGUGUAGCAUAGGCGGGAGGCUUCGAAGCGGGUGCGCCAGCAUUCGUGGAGCCGCAAGGUGAAAUACCGCUCUGUUCUCGUUUGACGUCUAACCUCGACAAGUCAUCCUUGUCAGGGACAGUGCCUGGCGGGUAGUUCAACUGGGGCGGUUGCCUCCCAAAGAGUAACGGAGGCGCUCAAAGGUCCGCUCAGCCCGGUUGGCAAUCGGGUGUCGAGUGUAAUCGCACAAGCGGGCUUGACUGCGAGGACGACGGUCCGAGCAGGGACGAAAGUCGGAGAUAGUGAUCCGGUGCCGGCGCACGGGCGCGGCAUCGCUCAACGGAUAAAAGGUACCCCGGGGAUAACAGGCUGAUCAUUCCCAAGAGUCCAUAUCGACGGGAUGGUUUGGCACCUCGAUGUCGGCUCGUCGCAUCCUGGGGCUGGAGCAGGUCCCAAGGGUUCGGCUGUUCGCCGAUUAAAGCGGCACGCGAGCUGGGUUCAGAACGUCGUGAGACAGUUUGGUCUCUAUCCUCUGCGCUCGUUGGAAUCCUGAGGAGGCCUGCCCAUAGUACGAGAGGACCUGGGUGGACGAACCUCUGGUAUGCCGGUUGUCACGCCAGUGGCACGGCCGGUUGGCUACGUUCGGAAGGGAUAACCGCUGAAAGCAUCUAAGCGGGAAGCCUGCUCCAAGAUAAGCAUUCCGUGGAACCUUCGAGUUCCUGUAGU
RNAcentral lists this ribosomal RNA (2125 nucleotides) under wastewater metagenome. RNAcentral's name for it is "bacterial LSU rRNA". It matches the Rfam family "Bacterial large subunit ribosomal RNA", at positions 835 to 2833 of the family's 2925-position model. The record is from RNAcentral.